GACGAACGCUGGCGGCGUGCUUAACACAUGCAAGUCGAACGGAAAGGCCCUGCUUUUGUGGGGUGCUCGAGUGGCGAACGGGUGAGUAACACGUGAGUAACCUGCCCUUGACUUUGGGAUAACUUCAGGAAACUGGGGCUAAUACCGGAUAGGGGCUCCUGCGGCAUGGGGGGGGUGGGAAAGUUUCGGCGGUUGGGGAUGGACUCGCGGCUUAUCAGCUUGUUGGUGGGGUAGUGGCUUACCAAGGCUUUGACGGGUAGCCGGCCUGAGAGGGUGACCGGCCACAUUGGGACUGAGAUACGGCCCAGACUCCUACGGGAGGCAGCAGUGGGGAAUAUUGCACAAUGGGCGGAAGCCUGAUGCAGCAACGCCGCGUGCGGGAUGACGGCCUUCGGGUUGUAAACCGCUUUCGCCUGUGACGAAGCGUGAGUGACGGUAAUGGGUAAAGAAGCACCGGCUAACUACGUG
RNAcentral lists this ribosomal RNA (468 nucleotides) under uncultured bacterium. RNAcentral's name for it is "partial 16S ribosomal RNA". It matches the Rfam family "Bacterial small subunit ribosomal RNA", at positions 28 to 507 of the family's 1533-position model. The record is from RNAcentral.